UGUAGCCAUGCACUACAGUAGCAAUUCGAAUGGCACGAAGCUGAGCACCAGAGACAUAACCUCACUCCUCUGGCUAUAAAAAGCCAGCCUCGGGUGCUCACUCUCACCACCCGAGAAACACGUUCACUCACUCGCUCACUUACUCUCACUUCGCGUAUACCGUAUACAGCCAUACGCACAAACUGAGCUCGAGUGUCGUCGCAAGACGAGGUGAGCAGCUCAUGAGCAUCUCCUUGCUCUUCUCUGUCUUUCUGUAGUAUUUUUCUGUAUUUUUUUUUUGUAUUUGUCUGUACCGAUUCAUUGCCAAGAACUCUACGAAUAGAACCAUGACAUACAGAAGAGCUCUAAUGACCCCUGCUAAUUUCUCUCUAACCAUGCAUGUGUGGGCCAUAAGCAUUAACUCCAAAUAGUACAUGCAUGCAUGCAACAUGCACUACCAGCCAAAAUUCAUCUUGUGAAGCAUGUAUUUCUUAAUCACCGUUAGCCUUUUUCGCAUGAUUAAAUUCUGGCCAUUUCACAAAUACGACAUGCUAACUCUGAUUUCAAUAAUUCUUUUUCCUAAAUUCAUCUAAAAUCAUGAUCUACCUUCCAUAUUAAUUUCAUGAUUUUUAGAGCUUAUUUGAAUUUAUGUGAUUAUUUAUCUGUGCUUGUUGUCUGUGUCGUUCGUCGCGUAUUUUAGCUGACGGAGUGAACGAGCCGGAAAACGAGAACGUUGGAGACGAGUACCGCGAGUUUGACGCUGAGGACCCGGACUGUCAGCAAGAGUUUGCUGAGGACGCCGACGGAGGCAAGUCCAACCGAUCCCCUUUGAUGCAUAUUGAUCCUAUUUUUAAACACAACCCGUAGAAGCCGUUUUAAAUAUUGCAUGUACGAUAUAUGUACGAAGUAUUUUCGCUGCUUAGUUAAAACCUGUUGAAUAGCCAUCCUUGAAUUGAUAUUACCCGGUAAUUGUCUUGUUCGAACCUAGGAACAAAUAAUAUGCUAUGACAGAAAUUUUAUUAUUUAGCAUGCUU
Molecule: long non-coding RNA, 1013 nt
Filed under: Sorghum bicolor (sorghum)
Lineage: Eukaryota; Viridiplantae; Streptophyta; Magnoliopsida; Poales; Poaceae
Description: long non-coding RNA (SBIC_LNC005419)
Source: RNAcentral